Molecule: ribosomal RNA, 468 nt
Filed under: uncultured bacterium
Lineage: Bacteria
Description: partial 16S ribosomal RNA
Rfam family: Bacterial small subunit ribosomal RNA
Source: RNAcentral
GACGAACGCUGGCGGCGUGCUUAACACAUGCAAGUCGAACGGAAAGGCCCUGCUUUUGUGGGGUGCUCGAGUGGCGAACGGGUGAGUAACACGUGAGUAACCUGCCCUUGACUUUGGGAUAACUUCAGGAAACUGGGGCUAAUACCGGAUAGGAGCUCCUGCUGCAUGGUGGGGGUUGGAAAGUUUCGGCGGUUGGGGAUGGACUCGCGGCUUAUCAGCUUGUUGGUGGGGUAGUGGCUUACCAAGGCUUUGACGGGUAGCCGGCCUGAGAGGGUGACCGGCCACAUUGGGACUGAGAUACGGCCCAGACUCCUACGGGAGGCAGUAGUGGGGAAUAUUGCACAAUGGGCGGAAGCCUGAUGCAGCAACGCCGCGUGCGGGAUGACGGCCUUCGGGUUGUAAACCGCUUUCGCCUGUGACGAAGCGUGAGUGACGGUAAUGGGUAAAGAAGCACCGGAUAACUACGUG